AGAGUUUGAUCCUGGCUCAGGACUAACGCUGGCGGCGUGCCCAACACAUGCAAGUCGAACGGAAACAUGUCUGUAGCAAUACAGAUGAUGUCGAGUGGCGGACGGGUGAGUAAUACAUAGAUAAUCUACCUUUAGGUCGGGGACAACCCAGGGAAACUUGGGCUAACACCCGAUAUUAUCAUGAGACCGCAUGGUUUUAUGAUGAAAUCAAUUAGAUUGGCCAAAAGAUGAGUUUAUGCCUGAUUAGCUAGUUGGCGGAGUAAAAGCCCACCAAGGCUAUGAUCAGUAGCUGGUCUGAGAGGACGAACAGCCACACUGGAACUGAGACACGGUCCAGACUCCUACGGGAGGCAGCAGUGAGGAAUUUUGCUCAAUGGGCGCAAGCCUGAAGCAGCGACGCCGCGUGAACGAUGAAGUCUUUCGGGAUGUAAAGUUCUGUCAGCAGGGACAAUAAUGAUGGUACCUGCAGAGGAAGCACCGGCAAACUAUGUGCCAGCAGCCGCGGUAAUACAUAGGGUGCGAGCGUUGUCCGGAUUUACUGGGCGUAAAGAGCGUGUAGGCGGUAAGAUCAGUCAAAUUUUAAAUACUCCUGGCUCAACCAGAGUUUGGAUUUGAUACUAUCUUGCUAGAGAUUGGGAGAGGAAAGCGGAACUAACAGUGUAGCGGUGAAAUGCGUAGAUAUUGUUAGGAACACCCAUGGCGAAGGCAGCUUUCUGGACCAAUUCUGACGCUGAGACGCGAGAGCGUGGGGAUCAAACAGGAUUAGAUACCCUGGUAGUCCACGCUGUAAACGAUGUACAUUAGGUAUAGGGGGUAUCGACCCCUUCUGUGCCGAAGCUAACGCGUUAAAUGUACCGCCUGGGGAGUACGGUCGCAAGAUUAAAACUCAAAGGAAUUGACGGGGGCCCGCACAAGCAGUGGAUCAUGUGGUUUAAUUCGACGAUACCCGAAGAACCUUACCAGAACUUGACAUCUAGUUGAAGGCUAUGGAAGCAUAGCUGGGUCCGCAAGGACAAACUAAGACAGGUGGUGCAUGGUUGUCGUCAGCUCGUGUCGUGAGAUGUUAGGUUAAGUCCUGCAACGAGCGCAACCCUCGUACUGUGUUGCUACAUUUAGUUGAGCACUCUCAGUAGACUGCCCGUGGUAAACGGGAGGAAGGUGGGGAUGACGUCAAAUCAUCAUGCCCUUUAUGUUCUGGGCUACACACAUGAUACAAUGGUUGAUACAAAGGGAUGCGAAGCCGCGAGGCGGAGCCAAUCUCAUAAAAUCAGCCUCAGUUCAGAUUGUAGGCUGCAACUCGCCUGCAUGAAGCCGGAAUUGCUAGUAAACGCAGAUCAGCAUGCUGCGUUGAAUACGUUCCCGGGCCUUGUACACACCGCCCGUCACACCAUGAAAGCCGGAAAUAUCCGAAGUCAGUGAGCCAACCGCAAGGAGGCAGCUGCCGAAGAUAGCGCCGGUGAUUGGGGUGAAGUCGUAACAAGGUA
Molecule: ribosomal RNA, 1484 nt
Filed under: metagenome
Description: bacterial SSU rRNA
Rfam family: Bacterial small subunit ribosomal RNA
Source: RNAcentral